GAUGAACGCUAGCUACAGGCUUAACACAUGCAAGUCGCGGGGCAGCAUGGGGGUUGCUUGCAACUCCCGAUGGCGACCGGCGCACGGGUGAGUAACGCGUAUCCAACCUGCCCUUCACCACGGGAUAACCCGGCGAAAGUCGGACUAAUACCGUAUGUUGUCCAUUGACGGCAUCCGAAUUGGACGAAAGGCUUUGCGGUGAAGGAUGGGGAUGCGUCCGAUUAGCCAGACGGCGGGGUAACGGCCCACCGUGGCUACGAUCGGUAGGGGUUCUGAGAGGAAGGUCCCCCACACUGGAACUGAGACACGGUCCAGACUCCUACGGGAGGCAGCAGUGAGGAAUAUUGGUCAAUGGGCGUAAGCCUGAACCAGCCAAGUAGCGUGCAGGAUGACGGCCCUAUGGGUUGUAAACUGCUUUUAUGCGGGGAUAAAGUGGCCCACGUGUGGGCUUUUGCAGGUACCGCAUGAAUAAGGACCGGCUAAUUCCGUG
RNAcentral lists this ribosomal RNA (490 nucleotides) under uncultured bacterium. RNAcentral's name for it is "partial 16S ribosomal RNA". It matches the Rfam family "Bacterial small subunit ribosomal RNA", at positions 28 to 507 of the family's 1533-position model. The record is from RNAcentral.